RNAcentral lists this unclassified non-coding RNA (90 nucleotides) under Pseudomonas yamanorum. Lineage: Bacteria; Pseudomonadati; Pseudomonadota; Gammaproteobacteria; Pseudomonadales; Pseudomonadaceae. The record is from RNAcentral.
UGUGGGAGCGGGCUUGCUCGCGAAUGCGAUGGAUCAGUCAGCACAUGUAUUGGCUGACACACCGCUUUCGCGAGCAAGCCCGCUCCCACA